RNAcentral lists this ribosomal RNA (425 nucleotides) under uncultured bacterium. RNAcentral's name for it is "bacterial SSU rRNA". It matches the Rfam family "Bacterial small subunit ribosomal RNA", at positions 359 to 776 of the family's 1533-position model. The record is from RNAcentral.
GAAUUUUGGACAAUGGGCGCAAGCCUGAUCCAGCCAUGCCGCGUGUGUGAAGAAGGCCUUCGGGUUGUAAAGCACUUUCGGACGGAACGAAAUCGCGCGGGUGAAUAUCCCGCGUGGAUGACGGUACCGUAAGAAGAAGCCCCGGCUAACUACGUGCCAGCCACCGCGGUAAUACGUAGGGUGCGAGCGUUAAUCGGAAUUACUGGGCGUAAAGUGUGCGCAGGCGGCGUCGCAAGUCGAGUGUGAAAUCCCCGGGCUUAACUUGGGAAUUGCGCUCGAAACUAUGAUGCUGGAGUGUGGCAGAGGAAGGUGGAAUUCCACGUGUAGCGGUGAAAUGCGUAGAGAUGUGGAGGAACACCGAUGGCGAAGGCAGCCUUCUGGGCCAACACUGACGCUCAUGCACGAAAGCGUGGGGAGCAAACAGG